Molecule: unclassified non-coding RNA, 949 nt
Filed under: Hevea brasiliensis (rubber tree)
Lineage: Eukaryota; Viridiplantae; Streptophyta; Magnoliopsida; Malpighiales; Euphorbiaceae
Source: RNAcentral
UGGCUUUCUGAAUAAGGUAGUACAGCUCGUCAAGAUGAACUAAAAAGGAUGAGAUAUAAUUAAUCUAUCAUCCAGCAGUCACAGGGCUGCUUCAAUAUAUAAAUGACGUAUGCAUUGAGGUGGUUGAGCAAUGUAAAAACAAUUAGAAUCGCACCCCAAGACCUCCUAUGAAGAUUUUUGGAUCUCAUCCAUUAUUAUAUAUAUAUUUUUUCUUAAUGAAUUACUGCUUUUGUUAGUCGCUUAACAAAGUUGAGAGAAGCAGCUCCUGCACAAAACCAGCUCUUCCAACAGCCUGCCUCAUCCUUUUCUCCCUUUCUUCAUAACUCAAAGAAGGAUCGAAACGUGAUCGCCACAUAUAUGCUGGUGCUGCAUUUUUUGCAGGACUAUCUUCCACACUUGUUGCCACAGAUUUCGAAAUUUCUUCAGCUUCAGAUGCAGGGAAAUUCAAAAUAAGUGAUGAAAGGAAUGGGUCAGUAGCUGCAUUAGACACAUUAGCAUUGCUUGACCUAUAUCCACCACCCCCUCAGAGCACUUGUAAAUGAGCCUCACGAAGAUCUAGACCAAGUAAAGACAAUGCCUGACUGUUUGGAAUUGCAACUCUACGCAAUCUGCGACGUCUCUGCAACUUGAACAAGUGUCCAUGUUGCAGUGUGAUAUGACUUAGCAUGUCCUGUGCAACUUUAACAGAGCAAAUAGGACAAACGGUGACUUUGGACUCGCAAGAGUGCUCAUCUUCGAGGUGGGAACACAGAGAUGCGAUGUCGAAAUCUUCGUAACAAUAGGGACAUGGGAAAUCGGGUCGGACCUCGUCUUCUACCUCGAAAUCAUCGAUGCUCAACCGAUCUAAGUGGGAACUCUGAAUCUGAUGAUGGUGCUGCAAGGUGUAUUGCCUUUUUGCGGCAGCUAGGCGAGAGGUCCAGAAAUCAGAGUCCAUUUCCCUUGAAAGAUC